Stylophora pistillata is the source of this 590-nucleotide long non-coding RNA. The record is from RefSeq and is a predicted model, not a curated record. NCBI's taxonomy places the organism in Eukaryota, Metazoa, Cnidaria, Anthozoa, Scleractinia, Pocilloporidae.
AAAAAUGUAUAUUUAGGGUGAGUUGCAAUUGUAAUAUUUCGCAUAAGCAGUUGACUUUGAGCCAGAGGAAGGCAAGUUUGCACGCAGAGACAACUCUUAGAAUUUCCUAAAAUGACAGAUUUCAAAAGGACCGUUACAGUCUUUUUCUUGCUGUAUUUGGUUUCCAGUGGCUUGGGAAUGUCUCUCGUAAGGCGGGACCUGAAGGAGAAUUCUGGUGCGGCAAGAUUUCUCAGUGCACUGGACAAACGAACGGAACUUUUCAAACGUUCUGAUUGUCAAGACACAAACCCUGAUGUAUACUUCUGCAUGUUCGCAGCCUUUGAAGAGCAAUCUUGUGAAACGUAUGGAAGGGAGUGUGCCCUUUCUUGUGGAUUCUGUUAGAGCUUUGCGUGAUCAAUUCUCAUGAAGAAUUGCUGAAAAUCCACAACUGAUGUAAGCCAUGCCUCUGAUUUUUAUUUACAACAGAACUUCUGCUGUAUGUGAACUUACUGGACCCGCCUGACACUAUUGAAUAUGGCAAAAUAUAACAAUAAAAUAUCAUAAGUCAAAAUAAAUUUGAAUCAAACAAUAAAACGUCCCCUGGAACUGAU